Molecule: unclassified non-coding RNA, 230 nt
Filed under: soil metagenome
Description: partial internal transcribed spacer 1
Source: RNAcentral
CCGAAAUUUAAAACUCACAACGCGAGUCUCGUGCGGAAGCAAAUAUGACUGCCGAGACUUUGUGACUCUUCAAGUCUUCCUUUGCUCAAGUCAAACCACACUCGUGAAGCACAUGUGACGAGUCUGUGGUGAGCAUCGGGAGCACUGCGUUUCCUUCGGGAUUCACAGUCUAAAAAACGAAUUGUAAAAGUAGUAUAAAUAAGUAUAUAAACAAAAAAAGACGAAAAAAU